CCUACGGGUGGCAGCAGUGAGGAAUAUUGGUCAAUGGCCGAGAGGCUGAACCAGCCAAGUCGCGUGAGGGAAGACGGCCCUACGGGUUGUAAACCUCUUUUGUCGGGGAGCAAAGCGAGUCACGUGUGACUCAUUGAGAGUACCCGAAGAAAAAGCAUCGGCUAACUCCGUGCCAGCAGCCGCGGUAAUACGGAGGAUGCGAGCGUUAUCCGGAUUUAUUGGGUUAAAGGGGUGGGAAGGCGGAGGAGCAAGUCAGCGGUAAAAUUGCGGGGCUCAACCCCGUACUGCCGUUGAAACUGCCUCCCUUGAGUGCAGGAGAGGUAUGCGGAAUGCGUGGUGUAGCGGUGAAAUGCAUAGAUAUCACGCAGAACUCCGAUUGCGAAGGCAGCAUACCGGCGCGCAACUGACGCUGAUGCACGAAAGCGUGGGUAUCGAACAGGAUUAGAUACCCCAGUAGUC
This 459-nucleotide ribosomal RNA is filed under the name uncultured bacterium. RNAcentral's name for it is "partial 16S ribosomal RNA". It matches the Rfam family "Bacterial small subunit ribosomal RNA", at positions 338 to 795 of the family's 1533-position model. The record is from RNAcentral.